ACUAAAAGAAAAAAAUAAUAAAAAAAUCUGCAGCUGGCCCUUGGUGUCCCUGUGGGCCUGACAGCUUCGGGAGCUGGAGGUACUGCGCUGUCUCCAGCAGAGCCUGACCCCUGCUGUUGUAAUUGGGUUUAGCCUUCCCCUGCCAGGCAGCGCUCACUGCACAUCACCCCUGGUGGCAUCUGGGGAGAGCAGUCACUGAAAGACCUUCACUGCUCCAUCUAGAGCCCCUGGCACCUCCCCUCCUUGCCUCCCCCCCCCAGACCUUACUGGCUGGGCUUGUCUUCAUCCUUACUCUUCUGUCCCUCCUCAAAGGCUGCCUGCCUGGAGUCUGCAGCACUGGCCUGCCCUGUCCUUCACCUGCUCCUGACCCCCCACGUCUCUAGUCACUGUUCCUGUGAUGAGUCUUCUGCCCCUGCCCACUGCCUCCACUGCCAAGCCGCCCCUUGAUGAGUCUGGGCCAGCCAGAGCGCACGCAACCACUCCUGCCAGUCCACCUUACAAAUGCCAGACCCACUCACCUAAUGCCAAUGUGCAUUAUGUGUCAAAAGGAACAAAAAAUUUCUCAUUUCAAAAUUCA
Molecule: long non-coding RNA, 577 nt
Filed under: Marmota monax (woodchuck)
Lineage: Eukaryota; Metazoa; Chordata; Mammalia; Rodentia; Sciuridae
Source: RNAcentral